Molecule: small RNA, 2094 nt
Filed under: Pongo abelii (Sumatran orangutan)
Lineage: Eukaryota; Metazoa; Chordata; Mammalia; Primates; Hominidae
Description: processed transcript
Source: RNAcentral
AAACGCCCACUUCGGAUGGGGAAAGAGGACAACUUGAAGUCAAGUUGCAAUUAACUUCCGCGGCAGCCGCAGCUCCGGCGGCGGCGGCGGCGGCAGGAGAGGCAGAAGCCGCCGCCUCGGAAGUCCGACGCCGGCGCGCCCGCCCGGGGAGCCGUUCCUGGUUUCAGGCCCGCACUCGACAGCCACCGCCGCCCCCAACGUCCAUGCCUGAAAGGUGGGUGCGGCUGCUGUUUGGACGAGAGUUCCCCCUGCAGGACCUUCUGGUGGUCUGGGAUGCCUUGUUUGCAGAUGGCCUCAGCCUGGGUUUAGUAGAUUAUAUCUUCGUAGCCAUGUUACUUUACAUCCGAGAUGCUUAGAAAUCCAAGACCAGUGACUUAUCAAUUCCAUCCAAAUUUAGAUUAUUACAAAGCACGAGGAGCAGACCUCAUGAAUAAAAGCCGGACCAAUGCCAAAGGUGCUCCCCUGAAUAUAAAUAAGGUCUCUAAUAGCCUGAUUAAUUUUGGAAGAAAGUUGAUUUCCCCAGCAAUGGCUCCAGGCAGUGCAGGUGGCCCUGUGCCUGGAGGCAACAGCAGUAGCUCCUCCUCUGUUGUAAUUCCUACCAGGACCUCAGCAGAGGCCCCAAGCCAUCACUUGCAACAGCAACAGCAGCAGCAGAGGCUGAUGAAAUCAGAAAGCAUGCCUGUGCAAUUGAACAAAGGGCAAAGUUCUAAAAACAUCAGUUCAUCUCCAAGCGUUGAGAGUUUGCCUGGAGGAAGAGAAUUCACUGGUUCUCCACCUUCAUCUGCUACUAAAAAAGAUUCCUUUUUUAGCAACAUCUCACGUUCCCGCUCACACAGCAAAACUAUAGGCAGAAAAGAAUCUGAAGAAGAAUUAGAAGCCCAAAUUUCCUUCCUUCAAGGACAGUUGAAUGACCUGGAUGCCAUGUGCAAAUACUGUGCAAAGGUGAUGGACACUCAUCUUUUAAAUAUUCAAGAUGUGAUAUUACAAGAAAAUUUGGAAAAAGAAGAUCAAAUUCUGGUUUCCCUGGCAGGAUUAAAACAGAUCAAAGACAUUCUAAAAGGUUCCCUGCGUUUUAACCAGAGCCAGCUAGAGGCCGAAGAGAACGAACAGAUCACCAUUGCGGACAACCACUACUGCUCCAGCGGCCAGACCCAGGGCCGAGGCCAAGGCCAGAGCGAUCAAAUGUCUGGGGCCGUUAAACAGGCCUCUUCAGAAAUGCCAGGGUGCACCGAUAGAGGGAGUUCCGAUGACUUCAUCCUGAUUUCCAAAGAAGAUGAUGGGAGCAGUGCCAGGGGCUCCUUCUCCGGCCAGGCCCAGCCUCUUCGCACCCUCAGAAGCACCUCUGGGAAAAGCCAGGCCCCAACCUGCUCCCCACUGAUGUUCUCAGAUCCGCUGAUGGGCCCAGCCUCAGCUUCCUCCAGCAACCCCAGCUCCAGUCCUGAUGACGACAGCAGCAAGGACUCUGGCUUCACCAUUGUGAGUCCCCUGGACAUCUGACCACAGUGCCCAGUCCUGCCCCACAGGGAUCUAGCCACCCUUUAGUGGCCCCAAGGCCAGACUGAGGCUCGUCCAGUGGAGAACCUUCUUAAACCACUGCUUCCUUCCCGGCAUGCAUUUGGCAUUGGUCCAGCCCUUUGAAACCCCUUAGAGAGAAGCAUAAAUGGCCACAAAGCACACAGGCUUAGGUUUGCCAAAUGCAGACAGGGCUUUCUGGGCCCUUACCUAAUCCCCACCCGACUCUUGAUCUGAGUUAGAGCGGAGUUACGUACCCAGUAUCACACUCACAGUUUGAAAAGACCGAAUCACAAUUAGAAUCACUUUUCCUCUGUCCCCUGCUCCCCAGCUAAGAAUGUGUGGCAACUCCAUCAGUUAUACUUAGAAGGAGGAGAAAUAGUUAUUUUCGUAUCUUCUGUCCCUCAAAGCAUCAGACAUAGGAAAAUUGGUUUAUACCAAGAAAGCUUCCUCUGUGGAAAUCUGUCUCAGCCUACUUUAUUUCUACAUUGGGAAGCCAUAUCGCAGAGCUAAAUGCAAUAGAAUGAACUAGAACUAGUGAAUUCCAGGGCUGGGGGGGAAAAAAAAAAAAAAAAAAAAAAA